RNAcentral lists this small nuclear RNA (92 nucleotides) under Dipodomys ordii (Ord's kangaroo rat). Lineage: Eukaryota; Metazoa; Chordata; Mammalia; Rodentia; Heteromyidae. The record is from RNAcentral.
UGUACUGCUAGACAAUAGACUAAAAUUGGAAUAAUGCAGCAUGACCCUUGCCCAAGGAUGACAUGCCAGUUUGUGAGGCUUGCUGUAUUUGC